CUGCGCAUAAACUUAACUGCUCCCUGCGCAUAAACUUAACUGCUCCCUGUAGAUACAGAAACUGGUGCCUCUUUUUCUGUCACUGUGUUUGAGCAGGCAGUCUGUUGUAAUGACCCCCAAAUCACAGAGACUUAGUAAGUACUUAUUCAUGGGCCGGGCGUGGUGGCUCACACCUGUAAUCCCAACACUUUGUGAGGCUGAGGCAG
This 206-nucleotide long non-coding RNA is filed under the name Homo sapiens (human). Its description in RNAcentral is "HSALNT0263005". The record is from RNAcentral. Lineage: Eukaryota; Metazoa; Chordata; Mammalia; Primates; Hominidae.